GAUGAACGCUGGCGGCGUGCUUAACACAUGCAAGUCGAACGGAAAGGCCAGUGCUUGCACUGGUACUCGAGUGGCGAACGGGUGAGUAACACGUGGGUGAUCUGCCCUGCACUUCGGGAUAAGCCUGGGAAACUGGGUCUAAUACCGGAUAGGACAAUGGUUUGGAUGCCGUUGUGGAAAGUUUUUUCGGUGUGGGAUGAGCUCGCGGCCUAUCAGCUUGUUGGUGGGGUAAUGGCCUACCAAGGCGUCGACGGGUAGCCGGCCUGAGAGGGUGUACGGCCACAUUGGGACUGAGAUACGGCCCAGACUCCUACGGGCGGCAGCAGUGGGGAAUAUUGCACAAUGGGCGCAAGCCUGAUGCAGCGACGCCGCGUGGGGGAUGACGGCCUUAGGGUUGUAAACUCCUUUCGCUAGGGACGAAGCGUAUUUGUGACGGUACCUGGAGAAGAAGCACCGGCUAACUACGUG
This 468-nucleotide ribosomal RNA is filed under the name uncultured bacterium. RNAcentral describes it as "partial 16S ribosomal RNA". It matches the Rfam family "Bacterial small subunit ribosomal RNA", at positions 28 to 507 of the family's 1533-position model. The record is from RNAcentral.